Molecule: ribosomal RNA, 440 nt
Filed under: uncultured bacterium
Lineage: Bacteria
Description: partial 16S ribosomal RNA
Rfam family: Bacterial small subunit ribosomal RNA
Source: RNAcentral
CCUACGGGAGGCAGCAGUGGGGAAUAUUGCACAAUGGAGGGAACUCUGAUCCAGCGACGCCGCGUGAGUGAAGACGUAAUUCGUUAUGUAAAGCUCUAUCAGCAGGGAAGAAAGUGACGGUACCUGAAAAAGACGCUCCGGCUAAAUACGUGCCAGCAGCCGCGGUAAUACGUAUGGAGCAAGCGUUAUCCGGAUUUACUGGGUGUAAAGGGCGUGUAGGCGGGCUGACAAGUCAGAUGUGAAAUCCGGGGGCUCAACCCCCGAACUGCAUUUGAAACUGUUGGUCUUGAGUGUAGGAGAGGCAGGCGGAAUUCCUGGUGUAGCGGUGAAAUGCGUAGAGAUUAGGAGGAACACCAGUGGCGAAGGCGGCCUGCUGGGCGACAACUGACGGUGAGGCGCGAAAGCGUGGGGAGCAAACAGGAUUAGAUACCCGAGUAGUC